GCCUUUUGGCUGAAUAGGUGCAUAGGAGUUCAAUGGACAUGAACCGAUGCAUGUAGGUGGACAUUCAUGCACUCUCCCAUUUCAUUGUAAUGAAAUAUUCAUGUACCAUCCUUAAAGCAUCCAUUCGUUGAAGGAAUUCAUUCAUGCACCCACACGUACAUUGAAUAAAAAAUGUUCAUGAAUCUUCAUUAAUUGUGUUCCCGCAUUCGGCUAUACCUACAAAAGCCAUAAACAAAUUAGAUUCAAGGUACAUUCAGCUUAGAUUAAAUAAUAUCAAGACAUAUUUAACAAAUUAAAAUAAAUACAUAAAUAAAAUAUAAUUAACAAUAAAUUCGGCUAGCUCAAUAUAGUUGAAAUUCUUGACGAGCUGAAUUGAGCUAGAGAAUUCGGUCAUGAGCUGUAGUAAAAUAAUUAAAAUAAAACUAAUACUCAAUUUAUUUAAAUGAUAACAAUAACGAGCUGAUAGAAAGCUAAAUUGAGCUCAAAUGGAUGGAAUUGAGCUCAAGUGAGCUGAUUGGAGCUGAAAUGAGCUAAGGGAGCUGAAACUGAGCUAAAGUCAGCUUGCACUAAGGUGCAUGGAUUCUUCAAGGAGUUGGCUUGAGCUUCACCAUCAUCAAUGAGCUGAUUCUCCUUCCAAAACUUAAGAAACAAAGCUGAAACAACUUCUUGGAGUCACUUGGUGCUAGCUCGAGUCAUUGGUCCCUUUGGAAGCUCAAGGAAGUCAAGACGAGGACUUGGUGGAGCUUGGGG
Molecule: long non-coding RNA, 750 nt
Filed under: Gossypium barbadense (sea-island cotton)
Lineage: Eukaryota; Viridiplantae; Streptophyta; Magnoliopsida; Malvales; Malvaceae
Description: long non-coding RNA (GBAR_LNC020037)
Source: RNAcentral